GCCUGGGUGGCUCAGUUGGUUGAGCGUCCAGCUUCGGCUCGGGUCAUGAUCUCGUGGUUUGUGGGUUCAAGCCCCGCAUUAGGCU
Molecule: transfer RNA, 85 nt
Organism: Felis catus (domestic cat)
Lineage: Eukaryota; Metazoa; Chordata; Mammalia; Carnivora; Felidae
Rfam family: tRNA
About the family: Transfer RNA (tRNA) molecules are approximately 80 nucleotides in length. Their secondary structure includes four short double-helical elements and three loops (D, anti-codon, and T loops).
Source: Rfam